GUAGGUGGCAAGCGUUGUCCGGAAUUAUUGGGCGUAAAGCGCGCGCAGGCGGUCCUUUAAGUCUGAUGUGAAAGCCCACGGCUCAACCGUGGAGGGUCAUUGGAAACUGGGGGACUUGAGUACAGAAGAGGAAAGCGGAAUUCCAAGUGUAGCGGUGAAAUGCGCAGAGAUUUGGAGGAACGCCAGUGGCGAAGGCGGCUUUCUGGUCUGUAACUGACGCUGAGGCGCGAAAGCGUGGGGAGCAAACAGGGAUUAGAUACCCUGGUAGUCCACGCCGUAAACGAUGAGUGCUAAGUGUUAGGGGGUUUCCCGCCCCUUAGUGCUGCAGCUAACGCAUUAAGCACUCCGCCUGGGGAGUACGGCCGCAAGGCUG
Molecule: ribosomal RNA, 373 nt
Filed under: uncultured organism
Description: partial 16S ribosomal RNA
Rfam family: Bacterial small subunit ribosomal RNA
Source: RNAcentral